UACGAAGGGGGCUAGCGUUGCUCGGAAUCACUGGGCGUAAAGCGCACGUAGGCGGAUCUUUAAGUCAGGGGUGAAAUCCUGGAGCUCAACUCCAGAACUGCCUUUGAUACUGGGGAUCUCGAGUCCGGGAGAGGUGAGUGGAACUGCGAGUGUAGAGGUGAAAUUCGUAGAUAUUCGUAAGAACACCAGUGGCGAAGGCGGCUCACUGGCCCGGUACUGACGCUGAGGUGCGAAAGCGUGGGGAGCAAACAGG
Molecule: ribosomal RNA, 253 nt
Filed under: uncultured bacterium
Lineage: Bacteria
Description: partial 16S ribosomal RNA
Rfam family: Bacterial small subunit ribosomal RNA
Source: RNAcentral